RNAcentral lists this ribosomal RNA (115 nucleotides) under Chinchilla lanigera (long-tailed chinchilla). Lineage: Eukaryota; Metazoa; Chordata; Mammalia; Rodentia; Chinchillidae. The record is from RNAcentral.
GUCUCCGGCCAUACCACCCUGAACGCGCCCGAUCUCGUCUGAUCUCGGAAGCUAAGCAGGGUCGGGCCUGGUUAGUACUUGGAUGGGAGAACAAAUUAAGCGGAAGCUGGAGGGC